AGGCUCUCAGACUUUGCACCGGAUGCACUUGCCUGACGGAGCCAUCUCCCUGGCCUCGGCAGGACACCUUCGAAUGGCUCCCAGGACAGUGCUCUGGGGCUGUUUUAAGAGGUGUCUGCACAGACGAGUGAUGGAGAACACUAGGAAACCUAAGAAAGGACUCUCUCACACUGUCAGGAUAGCCUCCAUUUAUUCCCCUUCUGCUUCGGUCUCCCACACCCUGGGACUGUACGAUGCGAUCAGCCUGUGCUCAGGUCUACGUUACUUCAUAGUAUGCUACUUGGUGUCUUUUUAAAAAGCUGCAUGCUGCCCUGAGAUACUGUUUUACAAGCCAUGUUUGACAACGUGUUAAGUGAAAAACAGAAGCAGGGAUCAGACAGCUGGAGAUCUCCAGACUGACUCCUGGGCUUUAGGCUCAUCUCGUUGCCCCACUGUUGAAAUGGUCAACUCAAGUUGCCUACUCAGUUGACUAUCUGGUACUGGUUCUGGACUUGUCUCUACAGCAUCCAGGGUUUUACACCUUGCCUGGGCAGCUGACCCGGACUCUGAAGCUCAACACAACUCCAAGCACAUGGCUUGACCCAACAACUGCAGACUGGUAAAGGUUUAUUAUGUAACACCAUAGAUUUCCUCUUAUUUUCAGACACUCCCUGUACUCUGCUAUGGCCUAUUGUACCCAUUCGGCAACACACAGACAAAUGCAUGAACACACACACACACACACACACACACACACACACACACACGGCCUAAGAAUUAAAUAUUAGUAGUUAUGAUCAGAAUAAAGAAUCUGUAUUUUCCAAAGGCCAACUAUUGAGGAAAAUAAGGACUACUAGUCAAAUUGUCAAAAGACACAAACAUGUCUUUUUCUGCUCAUGGUAGUGUGCCACUACAUUUAAUUCCUUAUAUAUUUUAUGUAUGCUCAUAAAAAUCUUUUAGAAGGGAAACUAUGCUGAACAAGACAUGAAUUUUUUAAACAAGGCCCUUUGGUUUGUUGAUUUAUCUACUGUACAUGAGUACACUGCAGCUGUCUUUAGAUACACCAGAAGAGGGCAUUGGAUAUCAUUUCAGAUGGUUGUGAGUCACCAUGUGGUUGCUGGGAAUUGAACUUAGGAACUCUGGAAGAGCAGUCAGUGCUCUUAACUGCUAAGCCAUCUCUUCAGCACCUAACUAAGGCCUUAGUUUCCAUUUUGUAAAAUAUUUGGGUCAAUGUUAACACUGCAAAAAAUUACCCGUGGUUGCUAACUCAGCAAGCAAUGGGUGUUACCAUCUUUAUACUACAAUAGGUAAAAUAACACAGCAUUUGAAUUUGGUUGUGUGUGAGGCUCAGCCUUUACUUGUUUUACUAGUCAUGUGCAUUUUUACAUGAGUAGAAUUUUUUAACCAUUGUUCAUUGAUUUGUCAAGAUUUCAAUGUUUUCAGUAUCCAUUUGUUUAAGUCUUUUGAUGUUAGAGUUAAAUUUUAAAUUGAUUUCAUUUUGUUUUGAAAUUAUUUUGAUGCAUAGAAACUUAAACCAUAUUAAGAUCAAAUAAUUAUGUACUUUCAUUGAAAAUAUUCCUUCUGAUGGAUAAAUGCAGAGGUGUCUAAGUCGAGGCCUGGGCUGUUAGCAGUUAAGGACAGCUGUGAGUGGGCCUAAAACAAAGUCACAAACUUAAAGUGUUAUCAGGUUUUUUUUUCUCAAUUUUCUUUUCUAACUUGAAUACACUAGGCAUGUUCUACCAAUAACCUACAUCCCUAGACCCAUUUUUAUUUUUAAUUCUGAGACAUUGUUUCACUAAAUGUUCAGUCUGCCUUUGAAUUCACUCCAUGGUUCAGGAAGGCCUUAAAUCCGCUUGCCUCGGUCUUCUGAGCACCUUGAGUUCUAUGCUUAGGCUGCCAGAUCUAGCUUUGCCUGGGGAGUUUUAUGUUGACUCUGGAUAUAUAGGUUGUACAUGCACACGCACACACACACAAGUCAAUCAUUUACUGAUGGUGAAUCACAAAAAAUGUUUAAAGCAAUUCUUUGGUAUACAUAUAUUUAUUAAAGACAAAUUUGCAUAC
RNAcentral lists this long non-coding RNA (2040 nucleotides) under Mus musculus (house mouse). Its description in RNAcentral is "RIKEN cDNA 4921517D16 gene". Lineage: Eukaryota; Metazoa; Chordata; Mammalia; Rodentia; Muridae. The record is from RNAcentral.